This is a long non-coding RNA of Raphanus sativus (radish), 625 nucleotides long. RefSeq lists it as uncharacterized. The record is from RefSeq and is a predicted model, not a curated record. The transcript is spliced from 4 exons. Lineage: Eukaryota; Viridiplantae; Streptophyta; Magnoliopsida; Brassicales; Brassicaceae.
CAAGAUCCAACGGUGGAGGGUCCCAUUAUCUAUCAACUGUUAUCUGACAAGUCGCCACGUGUCACUCAUCCUGAUCUGUUUCAGUACUAUUGCCCCCACCGAAUCAUAAUCUUGCCCUCGCUCGCUCGCUUGAUGGAGCAAAAACCUAAAGGGCUAGGAGAGAAAAUAUUGUCCUCUUCUUUUUUUCCCUCUCUUAGAGUUAGCUCUGUUUUGUAACUGGUGAAGCGGAAAACAGAUAUAUAGCUAAGAUCUCCUCAUCAUUCAGAGGCUUCUAAAUUGGUUUGACAUGGAACAACUGUUUCCUGGUUGGAAUUUGGAAGAUAAUUUCCACGUGUCCACUAGUAAAAGAUCAAUCAGACCAGAAGAUGAACUAGUGGAGCUAUUUUGGAGAGAUGGUCAAGUGGUUUUACAAAGCCAAGUUCGUAGAGAACCAUCAGUCCAAGUCCAAAACCACAAACAUGAUCAAGCCCUACGAGAACCAAACAACACUUUUCUUGUCAACCAAGAAACAGUACAGAAACAUAAUAACACUCUUCAAGAAGAUCAAGAAACCGUCUCUUGGAUCCAAUACCCUUCUGAAGACGUAAUUGACCCCUUUGAAUCCGAGUUCUCCUCCCAUUUCUUC